This 32-nucleotide non-coding RNA is filed under the name Geobacter sulfurreducens PCA. The record is from RNAcentral. Lineage: Bacteria; Pseudomonadati; Thermodesulfobacteriota; Desulfuromonadia; Geobacterales; Geobacteraceae.
UUCAACCCAUAUAUGGGACUAUGCGGCUAGGC